AUUCCACUGAUUUCUUUUAUGAUG
RNAcentral lists this microRNA (24 nucleotides) under Populus x canadensis (hybrid black poplar). Its description in RNAcentral is "PC-5p-1977684_1". Lineage: Eukaryota; Viridiplantae; Streptophyta; Magnoliopsida; Malpighiales; Salicaceae. The record is from RNAcentral.